RNAcentral lists this long non-coding RNA (241 nucleotides) under Sorghum bicolor (sorghum). RNAcentral describes it as "long non-coding RNA (SBIC_LNC018501)". Lineage: Eukaryota; Viridiplantae; Streptophyta; Magnoliopsida; Poales; Poaceae. The record is from RNAcentral.
GCAAAUUCAGUGCUUGUUUCCUCGUUCUUGCUAGUUCUUCGAUUGCUUGCAGGACGGGAGCCCUAGGGGCUGGUUGUCGCGCUCCACAAGAUCGUGACGGCUGUUGGACGUGGUGUAUCGGUUGCUAAGGCGCGGUCUUGAGGGCUGUAGUUGGGCCGUGAACGUCAUCUCCAUCCACUAAUCGAGUUAUCCAGCGCCUCUCAUCGAAAGAUCAGGCCAAAAACCCUAGCGGGUUCGCAUC